GUUUGUAAAUAUGUUCAUAAAUAUUGAUAUAAACAGUGCUAAAAAUCUUUAAAACCUGUGAAAUAUCCCUUUAGUGAUUGCUUUUAGUGACAGAUUAAACAACCAAUAACUGGCACAGUCUGAUUUCACAUCAGCCAAUCAGGUUGAUUGUCCCGCCCCUUUAACUGCAACGCUGAGCUUUAACUCAGAUUGCGUCUAACUCCCUUGAGAGCUGACGGUUGUUCCGUAAACUUCCUAGAAGAUUACAUUAAAUUCUUUGAAGAAUCCUGGAAAUUGAUCUCCAAAAGCGCUGUUCUAACAGCUGACCUCCGAAAAAAAAUCCCUGGUUGUGUAGCAUUGAAGCAUCGGUGAGUAAUUGCACGCGCUCAGCCGUUGGCCAGUAAAUUUGCUAAAAUAAUGGCUAAAAUAUCUAAUAACUGUUCAAAUUUAAUAAAAAUUAAAUUGUAUUGUAAGCUUUAUAUCAUUGUUGUUGUGUAUGUUGUAUUUGUCCUAUGUGGAUUUGCUUCUUUUCCCAUUAGUACGUGUUUUAAUAUUUUGACAUUGGUGUUAUGGUGCUGUAAUGCGGUUUUCUAAUCCACAUUUUAAAUGUUAGAUUUAGUGUUAUAAAUGUACUUUGGCACUUUUAGAUUGAGAUUUGAAUUGUUGCUUUGUUGAUAUUAGCAUCCUAAAUUUUAAGAUGCUUUACUUUGACCUUCUUCCAGGUCAGGUUUUUUUCUUAUGGUGCACUUUUGGAACAUUGUGCCAGAGACCUCAAGAUCACCUUUACAAAGAACUUGGAUGGCGAGCCCCAGCCCAGAGGACCGAGUGAACUGGUAGACAGUGACCCGACUGGUCACCAGCCGUGAAACAU
Molecule: long non-coding RNA, 850 nt
Organism: Poecilia latipinna (sailfin molly)
Lineage: Eukaryota; Metazoa; Chordata; Actinopteri; Cyprinodontiformes; Poeciliidae
Exons: 2
Source: RefSeq, a predicted model, not a curated record